Non-coding RNA from Plutella xylostella (diamondback moth), 515 nucleotides. NCBI's taxonomy places the organism in Eukaryota, Metazoa, Arthropoda, Insecta, Lepidoptera, Plutellidae. The record is from RefSeq and is a predicted model, not a curated record.
UAAAAAUUCUGUUAAAAGUAGUAGAUGUACAAUUCGAUGCGACUGGUGGUCAAACUAGUCACCGAACAAAUAUCUUGUUAACCUUGAAGACUAUGUUUGUACUGUCUGAUAUCGUCGGAACUCCAUAUAUUUGCUUUCCGCACUCUUCUUUUGUUUUAAGACAAAGAAAUUGAUAUAUGUAAAGUAUAUUCAGAUAUUCUCUCAAUCAACUACUUAACGUAUAUGUAUUUAACUAUGAUCUAGGGGAAGAAUAAUCUGUAAUAAAUCGGGCAGUAAUACGAUACUAUAUUAUUUUUAAUUAAAUUUUUGCUCUGAGUGUGACUCACUCAUUUGACUGAGUAAUCUGGUUUCACGGUUCACACUUCAUAAGCUGUACUAGACAAAAAGCGCGAGUAUAGAGUCUCUGACAAGUUUCAAUAGUUUGUUGGUGCUAAAUCUACUCGGAAAUUAAAUCUCUACCUUUAACCUGGGCCUUAGUUUCAUCACAGGCCAUAUGGACUUACAGGCUUUGAGUA